UGCCUUUAGGUUGCUAAGAUACUUUCUUCGUUUCUGGCGGUGUCACCAGGGAGAGGACAAGAAUCCAAACUGAGCUGGAGCGCAUUUGAUCAGAGCCGGCUGUGAUUUUUUGCGGCUGCCUGGAUUACUGGGACUGAGGUUCACCAGACAGACAGAUGCUAGUCAGUGCGCAUUCACAGAGCUCCUGAAGCAGAAAUAGGGCCUGAACCAGACCCAGAAAUUCAGGGAUCGAUCUGAUUCUGUGGUGCCUGCAGGAGCCAUUGUUACUACAUUUCUGUCAACCCCCAAGGAAGCAUGAACUUGUACAUUUGGUUCUGUGACCCGACGAAGAGUAUCUCCUGAGGAUAGCGGGAUCCUACAGUGUUCAAGCUAGGGUACAGAAGACAUGCCCAACAAAAACUUCCUGAAUCAAUGAAGUGAGAGGUGAUAUCAGAAGACAAGCCCAAAGUGAGAUGGUUGUUUACUUGAUUGACGGCUGUCUUCCUCGUGGAUCAUGAACUCUGUGAAAGCGGGAAUCAGAGCUGUUUUGCAGCAUGCCCAACAUCUAGGGGAGUACCGGGAAGCAGGAGGCAUUCAGUAAAUACUGAUGGAGUCAAUGUAUUAUACAUUAUAUUAUCUUAUAUAUAUAUUAUGCAAUAUAUAAUGUAUAUGUUCUAUGGAGUAAAUAUUAUGG
RNAcentral lists this long non-coding RNA (673 nucleotides) under Equus caballus (horse). RNAcentral describes it as "lncRNA (ENSECAG00000042683.2)". The record is from RNAcentral. Lineage: Eukaryota; Metazoa; Chordata; Mammalia; Perissodactyla; Equidae.